UAAAAAAAAUUGGUUAAUUAGUUAAUUAUUAUAUUCUGAUGAGUAGUAAAAAUUUAAGAUUGUUAUUUACCUUUUGCAUAAUGGCUUAACUAUAAAUUAUUGAUAUCAAAUUUCCCGAAGUUAAAAGAUCUAAUUUAAUAUAAUGAAUUGAUUAAUAUUUAUAUGUUUCAAAAUAUAUAUAAAUAUUAUUUUAGGGGUGAAAGGCUUAUCAAUUUUAGCGAUAUCUGGAUUGAUUUUAAAUGUAUUUAGUACAGGCUUAUUGCUGAUAUUAAAAAUGUUAAGAUUUUUAAUUAAUAGAAAUUUAAAUAAAUAAAUUUUAGGGGUAAUUCUCUUUUAUUAAUUAAAGAUAAAUUAAUUAUUAUUAAUUCUAAUUAUAAAAAUCAUUAUUUAUUUAAUAUUUUUUAAAUUAAUAUAUGUUAAGAUUAGUAUACAUUUAAUAUUUAUAAAGGAACUCGGCAAAAUACUCCUCAACUGUUUAUCAAAAACAUAGCUUUAUGUAUUAAUAUAAAGUGGCGCCUGCCCGGUGAUAAUUUUAACGGCCGCAGUACUUUGACUGUGCUAAGGUAGCAUAAUCAUUUGGCUUUUAAAUGGGGUCUUGUAUGAAGGAGGAAUGGGGAGUUACUGUCUCUAUAAAAAUUAAUAAAAGUUACUUAAAAGGUGAAAAUACCUUUAAAAAUAAAUUAGACGAGAAGACCCUAGGAGUUUAAUAUAUAUUUUGUUGGGGCGACACAACAACAAUUAACUUGUUGAUUUAUAUUUAUAUAUCGGAUAUUUCAUAAAAAUAUAAGCUACCCUAGGGAUAACAGCAUAAUUUAUUAAAGUUUGUGACCUCGAUGUUGGACUAGGGUAAUUUUAUUGUUAGAAAUAAUAAAAGGAAGUUCUGUUCGAACUUAAUUCCCUACAUGAUCUGAGUUCAGACCGGCGAAAGCCAGGUCAGUUUCUAUCUUUUAUAGUUGUAUUAUUAGUACGAAAGGACCAUAAUAUAGUAAUUAUGUUAUAUUAACUUGGCAGAAUUAAUGCGCU
This 1023-nucleotide ribosomal RNA is filed under the name Deroceras agreste. RNAcentral describes it as "16S ribosomal RNA". The record is from RNAcentral. Lineage: Eukaryota; Metazoa; Mollusca; Gastropoda; Stylommatophora; Agriolimacidae.